RNAcentral lists this transfer RNA (79 nucleotides) under Acinetobacter baumannii. RNAcentral's name for it is "tRNA-Ile". Lineage: Bacteria; Pseudomonadati; Pseudomonadota; Gammaproteobacteria; Moraxellales; Moraxellaceae. The record is from RNAcentral.
GGGUUCAGUUCAGCUGGUUAGAUGCACACGCUUGAUAAGCGUGGUCACAAGUUCAAGCUCCUUGGGUCGUGACCCACCA